AGUGAACGCUGGCGGUAGGCCUAACACAUGCAAGUCGAACGGCAGCACAGUAAGAGCUUGCUCUUACGGGUGGCGAGUGGCGGACGGGUGAGGAAUACAUCGGAAUCUACUUUUUCGUGGGGGAUAACGUAGGGAAACUUACGCUAAUACCGCAUACGACCUACGGGUGAAAGCAGGGGAUCUUCGGACCUUGCGCGAUUGAAUGAGCCGAUGUCGGAUUAGCUAGUUGGCGGGGUAAAGGCCCACCAAGGCGACGAUCCGUAGCUGGUCUGAGAGGAUGAUCGGCCACACUGGAACUGAGACACGGUCCAAACUCCUACGGAGGGCAGCAGUGGGGAAUAUUGGACAAUGGGCGCAAGCCUGAUCCAGCCAUACGGCGUGGGUGAAGAAGGCCUUCGGGUUGUAAAGCCCUUUUGUUGGGAAAGAAAAGCAGCAGGUUAAUACCCCGCUGUUCUGACGGUACCCAAAGAAUAAGCACCGGCUAACUUCGU
Molecule: ribosomal RNA, 491 nt
Filed under: uncultured bacterium
Lineage: Bacteria
Description: partial 16S ribosomal RNA
Rfam family: Bacterial small subunit ribosomal RNA
Source: RNAcentral